This 157-nucleotide ribosomal RNA is filed under the name Escherichia coli. Its description in RNAcentral is "partial 16S ribosomal RNA". It matches the Rfam family "Bacterial small subunit ribosomal RNA", at positions 1387 to 1533 of the family's 1533-position model. The record is from RNAcentral. Lineage: Bacteria; Pseudomonadati; Pseudomonadota; Gammaproteobacteria; Enterobacterales; Enterobacteriaceae.
ACACCGCCCGUCACACCAUGGGAGUGGGUUGCAAAAGAAGUAGGUAGCUUAACCUUCGGGAGGGCGCUUACCACUUUGUGAUUCAUAACUGGGGUGAAGUCGUAACAAGGUAACCGUAGGGGAACCUGCGGUUGGAUCACCUCCUUACCUUAAAGAA